This 293-nucleotide ribosomal RNA is filed under the name uncultured bacterium. RNAcentral describes it as "partial 16S ribosomal RNA". It matches the Rfam family "Bacterial small subunit ribosomal RNA", at positions 29 to 320 of the family's 1533-position model. The record is from RNAcentral.
AGUGAACGCUGGCGGCAGGCCUAACACAUGCAAGUCGAGCGGGCAGCACGGGUAGCAAUACCUGGUGGCGAGCGGCGGACGGGUGAGGAAUACAUCGGAAUCUGACCUUGUUGUGGGGGAUAACGUAGGGAAACUUACGCUAAUACCGCAUAAGACCGAGGAGGUGAAAGCGGGGGAUCGAAAGACCUCGCGCGACAAGAUGAGCCGAUGUCGGAUUAGCUAGNGGCGGGUAAAGGCCCACCAAGGCGACGAUCCGUAGCUGGUCUGAGAGGAUGAUCAGCCACACUGGAACU